RNAcentral lists this ribosomal RNA (406 nucleotides) under uncultured bacterium. RNAcentral describes it as "partial 16S ribosomal RNA". It matches the Rfam family "Bacterial small subunit ribosomal RNA", at positions 30 to 526 of the family's 1533-position model. The record is from RNAcentral.
AUCGAACGCUGGCGGCAGGCCUAACACAUGCAAGUCGAACGAGUGGGGGACGCGGGUGAAUAGUCUGGGAAACUGCCCGAUGGAGGGGGAGAACCACUGGAAACGGUAGCUAAUACCGCGCACCCUCUGAAGUGCCCCGAUGUGAUUAGCUGGUAGGUGAGGUAACGGCUCACCUCGGCGAGGAUCCCUAGCUGGUCUGAGAGGAUGACCAGCCACACUGGAACUGAGACACGGUCCAGACUCCUACGGGAGGCAGCAGUGGGGAAUAUUGCACAAUGGGCGCAAGCCUGAUGCAGCCAUGCCGCGUGUAUGAAGAAGGCCUUCGGGUUGUAAAGUACUUUCAGCGGGGAGGCGUUACCCGCAUAAGAAGCACCGGCUAACUCCGUGCCAGCAGCCGCGGUAAUAC